CAAUAAAGAGGGUACCAUGAUAGAGUAACUUGGUGCUCCAUCAUGGCGAGGAUUAUUUAGAGCAGACUUUGAAAGAGCUGUGUCAUGAGGCUUGGCCAGUCUCAAGGAUCCAACACUGCUACUUAAGUUUCCAGAUGACAAAGUCUCAGGUGUCAGAGAGCCAUUCCCCAGCACUUCUGCAUGCAACACGCCCUUUGGCAUGGACCUGGAAAAUCUCUUCAUAAAGACUCGGACAAGACAGUCCUUCAAGCUGCUCCUAGAGCAUGGGGCUGACAAAAGAAGGCAUGCCAAGAGAGGAAGAACAAGGCAGAUGCUUCUGGUGGCUGUGACCAACCACGAUCACAUACAUUUGAUGCCAUCCUUUGGGAAUCCAUAGAAAUUCCGAGGGAGGUAUUGCAAGUGAACAAGAGUUCCACAGACCCAGAUAGGAGCAAGGAUGGGAACUUUAAUUAUCAAUGUCAGUCCGACUUCAUCGAACCCAGAUGCUGGCAAGGCCUGCCGACAUUUGAACUCUAAGCCUGCAACUCUGUACCACUUCUCUGAUCACACUGUGAACAACUCGAGGGUGGGAAUGCAUCUAUCUUUGAAUGCACACAGCCUAGAGCUAGGGCCAUGCAACAAAUGUAGUGUUGGAUGAAUAAAUGAAUGAAUCUACAAAUUGUCGUGAGUAAUAAUGCAUCAAACACAACACGAUGGUCAGAUUGCAUUGCAAUGGUCAUGGCUGGAUCUUGCACAACACAACAUUUUUGAGCAUCUUGCAGAAUCCUAGAUACCCAGAUCUAAAAGAACUGGCUGCUCCUUAACUGCUUAAAAAACCUCCGAUGGCUUCAGCAUUGACACUCCAGAGGACAGCUCCCUCCAGAAGAUUCUGGCACCCUCCAGAAGGGAUUCUAGAGGAUACGUCACCUUCACUCCCACUCAUGGUUGUCACCACCCCUAACAUCAACCGUCAGAUGAUACACUUUCAUCGCAGUUAUAGUUCAUUGCGUCUUCCAUUCUUCCAAGUCCCAAAGUCCAGAGCACUGGGGCAUGGUAGGGAAAGGCUCUGUGCAAGACCCGCGGUGAC
RNAcentral lists this long non-coding RNA (1066 nucleotides) under Equus caballus (horse). RNAcentral describes it as "lncRNA (ENSECAG00000054230.1)". Lineage: Eukaryota; Metazoa; Chordata; Mammalia; Perissodactyla; Equidae. The record is from RNAcentral.